This 332-nucleotide long non-coding RNA is filed under the name Pan troglodytes (chimpanzee). RNAcentral's name for it is "long non-coding RNA NONPTRT002235". Lineage: Eukaryota; Metazoa; Chordata; Mammalia; Primates; Hominidae. The record is from RNAcentral.
UCCUCCUCCACGCUUUAGGGCCGGGCCACUCCUUCUGCCACGUCUGCAUUUCGGGGACCCGGAUGCCGCGCAUGCGCCUCUUUCAUCUUCCCAUUAUGGCCGCCGCCUGUGCCCCUCUGCUGAGUCGUCCUGCACUCAUUGGAUCAGCUGACUACCUAGACCGGUAACCUGGCUCAAUCAGUUCUGCCAUUACACCCAGGAACAGAAAACAGCAAGAAAACCUCACUUCGACUCCCUGUGAUUCCGUCUUCAACCUGACCAAUCAGCACUCCCCGCUUCCCAAGCUCCUACUCGCCAAAUUAUCUUUAAGAACUCUGAUCCUCAAAUGCUCA